AUAAGUCACUAGGGGUGCUUAUAAGCUGAGAAAAUACCCUUGGAACCUGAACGGGAUAAUACCUGCGCUAGGGAAGUGUUUAAAAGAAAAA
Molecule: non-coding RNA, 91 nt
Filed under: Lactobacillus acetotolerans
Lineage: Bacteria; Bacillati; Bacillota; Bacilli; Lactobacillales; Lactobacillaceae
Description: TPP sequence
Rfam family: TPP riboswitch aptamer (THI element)
About the family: Vitamin B(1) in its active form thiamin pyrophosphate (TPP) is an essential coenzyme that is synthesised by coupling of pyrimidine and thiazole moieties in bacteria. The previously detected thiamin-regulatory element, thi box was extended, resulting in a new, highly conserved RNA secondary structure, the THI element, which is widely distributed in eubacteria and also occurs in some archaea. Analysis of operon structures identified a large number of new candidate thiamin-regulated genes, mostly transporters, in various prokaryotic organisms.
Source: Rfam by way of RNAcentral